AUGCACGCUGGCGGCGUGCCUAAUACAUGCAAGUCGAGCGAACAGACGAGGAGCUUGCUCCUCUGACGUUAGCGGCGGGCGGGUGAGUAACACGUGGAUAACCUACCUAUAAGACUGGGAUAACUUCGGGAAACCGGAGCUAAUACCGGAUAAUAUAUUGAACCGCAUGGUUCAAUAGUGAAAGACGGUUUUGCUGUCACUUAUAGAUGGAUCCGCGCCGCAUUAGCUAGUUGGUAAGGUAACGGCUUACCAAGGCAACGAUGCGUAGCCGACCUGAGAGGGUGAUCGGCCACACUGGAACUGAGACACGGUCCAGACUCCUACGGGAGGCAGCAGUAGGGAAUCUUCCGCAAUGGGCGAAAGCCUGACGGAGCAACGCCGCGUGAGUGAUGAAGGUCUUCGGAUCGUAAAACUCUGUUAUUAGGGAAGAACAAAUGUGUAAGUAACUAUGCACGUCUUGACGGUACCUAAUCAGAAAGCCACGGCUAACUACGUG
RNAcentral lists this ribosomal RNA (496 nucleotides) under uncultured bacterium. Its description in RNAcentral is "partial 16S ribosomal RNA". It matches the Rfam family "Bacterial small subunit ribosomal RNA", at positions 29 to 507 of the family's 1533-position model. The record is from RNAcentral.